GACGAACGCUGGCGGCGUGCUUAACACAUGCAAGUCGAACGGAAAGGCCCUGCUUGCCGGGUACUCGAGUGGCGAACGGGUGAGUAACACGUGGGUGAUCUGCCCUGCACUUCGGGAUAAGCCUGGGAAACUGGGUCUAAUACCGGAUAGGAGCCAUUUUUAGUGUGAUGGUUGGAAAGUUUUUUUCGGUGUAGGAUGAGCUCGCGGCCUAUCAGCUUGUUGGUGGGGUAAUGGCCUACCAAGGCGGCGACGGGUAGCCGGCCUGAGAGGGUGGACGGCCACAUUGGGACUGAGAUACGGCCCAGACUCCUACGGGAGGCAGCAGGGGGGAAUAUUGCACAAUGGGCGCAAGCCUGAUGCAGCGACGCCGCGUGGGGGAGGACGGCCUUCGGGUUGUAAACUCCUUUCGCUAGGGACGAAGCUUUUUGUGACGGUACCUAGAGAAGAAGCACCGGCUAACUACGUG
This 466-nucleotide ribosomal RNA is filed under the name uncultured bacterium. RNAcentral describes it as "partial 16S ribosomal RNA". It matches the Rfam family "Bacterial small subunit ribosomal RNA", at positions 28 to 507 of the family's 1533-position model. The record is from RNAcentral.